Molecule: transfer RNA, 77 nt
Filed under: Betaproteobacteria bacterium
Lineage: Bacteria; Pseudomonadati; Pseudomonadota; Betaproteobacteria
Description: tRNA-Arg
Rfam family: tRNA
About the family: Transfer RNA (tRNA) molecules are approximately 80 nucleotides in length.
Source: RNAcentral
GCGCCCGUAGCUCAGUUGGAUAGAGCGCCAGGCUACGAACCUGGAGGUCGUGAGUUCGAAUCUUGCCGGGCGCGCCA